AUAGAAUUAUUGCUGCGGUUAAAAAGCUCGUAGUUGGAUCUGUGCUAGCCGGCCGGUGCACACUUUGUGUGUUACUGGUUUGGUUGGCUUUUCUGCUGGUCUCUCCCCGGCGUUGGCCUUUAUUGGUUGGCGUCGGUGGGCUAGCGAGUUUACUUUGAACAAAUCAGAGUGCUUCAAACAGGCGUUUCGCUUGAAUGUUCGUGCAUGGAAUAAUAGAAGAGGAUUUCGGUCCGAUUUUAUUGGUUUUGCUGACCGAGAUAAUGGUUAACAGAGACAAACGGGGCCAUUCGUAUUGCUACGUGAGAGGUGAAAUUCUUGGACCGUAGCAAGACGGACUACAG
RNAcentral lists this ribosomal RNA (341 nucleotides) under uncultured eukaryote. Its description in RNAcentral is "SSU rRNA". It matches the Rfam family "Eukaryotic small subunit ribosomal RNA", at positions 601 to 945 of the family's 1831-position model. The record is from RNAcentral.